AGAAGAGGAGAUGCUAGACUUGACAGCGGCGAAGAAGAAGAAAGCGAAGAAGAAGGACAAGAAGAAGAUUCUCGACGACGAUUAUCCGGAAGUUGCUGCACAAGAUUGGGAAGUACCUAGUACUGCUCAAGAUGAUUCUUCGAGAGCUGUCGCUGCUCCAGAGCCUGCUGCUGCUCCUACUGCCCCGGACAUUCCCUCGCUGGCGGACGAAGAAGAGGAGAUGCUAGACUUGACAGCGGCAAAGAAGAAAAAACCGAAGAAGAAGGACAAGAAGAAGAUUCUCGACGACGAUUAUCCGGAAGUUGCUGCACAAGAUUGGGAAGUACCUAGUGCUGCUCAAGAUGAUUCUUCGAGAGCUGUCGCUGCUCCAGAACCUACUGCUACUCCUGAUGACGAGGAAGAGAUGCUGGACUUGAAUAAGAAAAAGAAGAAGAAGAAGAAACAGGACGA
Molecule: long non-coding RNA, 450 nt
Filed under: Selaginella moellendorffii
Lineage: Eukaryota; Viridiplantae; Streptophyta; Lycopodiopsida; Selaginellales; Selaginellaceae
Description: long non-coding RNA (SMOE_LNC000240)
Source: RNAcentral